GGUUGUCGUCAGCUCGUGUCGUGAGAUGUUGGUUAAGUCCCGCAACGAGCGCAACCCUCGACCUUAGUUGCCAGCAUUCAGUUGGGCACUCUAAGGUGACUGCCGGCUAAAAGUCGGAGGAAGGUGGGGAUGACGUCAAAUCAUUAUGCCCCUUAUGACCUGGGCUACACACGUGCUACAAUGGGCGGUACAAAGGGUCGCGAACCCGCGAGGGGGAGCCAAUCCCAAAAAGCCGCUCUCAGUUCGGAUUGCAGGCUGCAACUCGCCUGCAUGAAGCCGGAAUCGCUAGUAAUCGCGGAUCAGCAUGCCGCGGUCGAAUACGUUCCCGGGCCUU
RNAcentral lists this ribosomal RNA (334 nucleotides) under uncultured Anoxybacillus sp. RNAcentral's name for it is "bacterial SSU rRNA". It matches the Rfam family "Bacterial small subunit ribosomal RNA", at positions 1047 to 1382 of the family's 1533-position model. Lineage: Bacteria; Bacillati; Bacillota; Bacilli; Caryophanales; Anoxybacillaceae. The record is from RNAcentral.